Molecule: ribosomal RNA, 621 nt
Filed under: Salmonella enterica subsp. enterica serovar Kottbus
Lineage: Bacteria; Pseudomonadati; Pseudomonadota; Gammaproteobacteria; Enterobacterales; Enterobacteriaceae
Description: partial 23S ribosomal RNA
Rfam family: Bacterial large subunit ribosomal RNA
Source: RNAcentral
GGGUUGUGAGGUUAAGCGACUAAGCGUACACGGUGGAUGCCCUGGCAGUCAGAGGCGAUGAAGGACGUGCUAAUCUGCGAUAAGCGCCGGUAAGGUGAUAUGAACCGUUAUAACCGGCGAUUUCCGAAUGGGGAAACCCAGUGUGACUCGUCACACUAUCAUUAACUGAAUCCAUAGGUUAAUGAGGCGAACCGGGGGAACUGAAACAUCUAAGUACCCCGAGGAAAAGAAAUCAACCGAGAUUCCCCCAGUAGCGGCGAGCGAACGGGGAGGAGCCCAGAGCCUGAAUCAGCAUGUGUGUUAGUGGAAGCGUCUGGAAAGGCGCGCGAUACAGGGUGACAGCCCCGUACACAAAAGCGCAUGUGCUGUGAGCUCGAUGAGUAGGGCGGGACACGUGGUAUCCUGUCUGAAUAUGGGGGGACCAUCCUCCAAGGCUAAAUACUCCUGACUGACCGAUAGUGAACCAGUACCGUGAGGGAAAGGCGAAAAGAACCCCGGCGAGGGGAGUGAAAAAGAACCUGAAACCGUGUACGUACAAGCAGUGGGAGCACCCUUUUGGGUGUGACUGCGUACCUUUUGUAUAAUGGGUCAGCGACUUAUAUUCUGUAGCAAGGUUAACCG